RNAcentral lists this ribosomal RNA (239 nucleotides) under Schizochytrium aggregatum. RNAcentral's name for it is "partial Bacterial small subunit ribosomal RNA". It matches the Rfam family "Bacterial small subunit ribosomal RNA", at positions 1165 to 1402 of the family's 1533-position model. The record is from RNAcentral. Lineage: Eukaryota; Bigyra; Thraustochytrida; Thraustochytriidae.
GGAGGAAGGUGGGGAUGACGUCAAAUCAUCAUGCCCCUUAUGUCUUGGGCUUCACGCAUGCUACAAUGGCCGGUACAAAGGGCUGCGAUACCGUAAGGUGGAGCGAAUCCCAAAAAGCCGGUCUCAGUUCGGAUUGGGGUCUGCAACUCGACCCCAUGAAGUCGGAGUCGCUAGUAAUCGCAGAUCAGCAACGCUGCGGUGAAUACGUUCCCGGGCCUUGUACACACCGCCCGUCACAC